Molecule: ribosomal RNA, 465 nt
Filed under: uncultured bacterium
Lineage: Bacteria
Description: partial 16S ribosomal RNA
Rfam family: Bacterial small subunit ribosomal RNA
Source: RNAcentral
CUACGGGGGGCUCCAGUGGGGAAUAUUGGACAAUGGGGGAAACUCUGAUCCAGCAAUGCCGCGUGUGUGAAGAAGGCCUGCGGGUUGUAAAGCACUUUCGGUUGGGAGGACUGCUUCUAGCACUAAUAUUGUUGGAAGUUGACGUUACCUUCAGAAGAAGCACCGGCUAACUCCGUGCCAGCAGCCGCGGUAAUACGGAAGGUGCAAGCGUUAAUCGGAAUUACUGGGCGUAAAGCGCGCGUAGGCGGCUAGAUCAGUCGGGUGUGAAAGCCCCGGGCUUAACCUGGGAACUGCAUCCGAUACUGUCUAGCUUGAGUACAGGAGAGGAGAGUGGAAUUCCACAUGUAGCGGUGAAAUGCGUAGAUAUGUGGAGGAACACCAAUGGCGAAGGCAGCUCUCUGGCCUGAUACUGACGCUGAGGUGCGAAAGCGUGGGGAGCAAACAGGAUUAGAUACCCGUGUAGUC